GAAAGUAGGAAAGGGCGCACGGCGGAUGCCUUGGCUCAUUCAGGCGAAGAAGGACGUGAUAAGCUGCGAUAAGCCGCGGGUAGGCGCAAAUGGCCAUUGAUCCGCGGAUUUCCGAAUGGGACAACCCAGGCGGCAGGAGGCCGCCUAUCCGGAGCAUUCCGGAUGCUAACCGGGGGAACUGAAACAUCUUAGUACCCCGAGGAAGAGAAAAUAAUCUAAUGAUUCCCCCAGUAGUGGCGAGCGAACGGGGAAGAGCCCAAACCGUGACGGUCGCAAGGCCGCCGCGGGGUUGUAGGACCGCGCCAUUGCACAUUGAGGGUGAGUGGAAUCUCCUGGAAAGGCGAAUCGUAGAAGGUGAUAAUCCUGUACACGAAGCCCGAUGUGGCAUAGCGGUAUCCUGAGUAACGCGGGACACGAGGAAUCCUGCGCGAAUCUGCCGGGACCAUCCGGUAAGGCUAAAUACUCGAAUGAGACCGAUAGCGAACGAGUACCGUGAGGGAAAGGUGAAAAGCACUUCCAUGAGAAGAGUGAAAUAGUUCCUGAAACCGUGCGCCUACAAGCGGUCGGAGCGCAGCGAUGCGUGACGGCGUGCCUUUUGCAUAAUGAGCCUACGAGUUGCCGUCACCGGCGAGGCUAAGCCCCACGAGGGGCGCAGCCGCAGUGAGAGCGAGCCUGAAGAGGGCGUUUUAGUCGGUGGGGGCAGACGCGAAACCAAGUGAUCUACGCAUGUCCAGGAUGAAGUCCGGGUAACACCGGAUGGAGGUCCGCACCAAUAAGCGUUGAAAAGCUUCUGGAUGAGGUGUGCGUAGGAGUGAAAGGCCAAUCAAACUUGGAGAUAGCUCGUACUCCCCGAAAGGCAUUUAGGUGCCGCGUGUGGCGUUCCCCUGGAGAGGUAGAGCGACCGAUAGGACGCGAGGGCUUCACCGCCUAUCAAGUCCUGACGAACUCCGAAUGCUUCAGGGCAGGAGCCAUGCAGUAAGGGGGCGGGUGCUAAGGUCCGUCCCCGAGAGGAGAAGAAUCCGGACCGCCGCCUAAGGCCCCGGAGUUUCCGCCGAGUCAGUCUAACGAAGUCCGGUCCCCGUGACAGCCAGGAUGUUGGCUUGGAAGCAGCCAUUCAUUCAAAGAGUGCGUAACAGCUCACUGGUCGAGGGUCCGGGCGUGGAUAAUAAUCGGGUGUAAGCGGAACGCCGAAGGCGCGGGAUAGCAGAGCAAUGAAAAGUAUCGGUAGGGGAGCAUUCCACCGGCGUUGAAUGCGUGGAGCGAUCCGCGCUGGAGCUUGUGGAAAAGCAAAUGUAGGCAUAAGUAACGAUUAGGAGGGCGAGAACCCCUCCCGCCGUAAGUCUAAGGUUUCCCGGGCAAUGCCAGUCAUCCCGGGGUCAGUCGGGUCCUAAGCCUCAUCCGAAGGGAGAGGGCGAUGGCAGAGACGGUCAACAUUCCGUCACUUGCCACGGGGGCGAUGUGGAGACGGAGCAGUGAAACGGCCGCGGGGCGACGGAAGUCCCCGUUGAAGGGUGUAGGUGAUGAUAGAGGCAGGCAAAUCCGCCUUUAGAGCCGAACCUGACAGUAUCUUCCCUCCUUCGGGAGGUAGGAAUAGCGCCGGUAACCAUACUCCCGAGAAAAUCCGCUAAGCUCAACCCCAUGGCAACCCGUACCGCAAACCGACACAGGUAGACGGGUAGAACAUACUAAGGCGUUGGAAGAUUCAUGGUUAAGGAACUAGGCAAACUGACCCUGUAACUUCGGGAUAAAGGGUCCUCACAGCGAUGUGAGGCGCAGAGAAUAGGUCCAGGCAACUGUUUAACAAAAACACAGGGCUGUGCAAACACGAAAGUUGAGGUAUACAGCCUGACACCUGCCCGGUGCCGGAAGGUUAAGAGGAGACGUCAUCCCUUUGGGUGCAGCGUUGAAUUGAAGCCCCGGUAAACGGCGGCCGUAACUAUAACGGUCCUAAGGUAGCGAAAUUCCUUGUCGGGUAAGUUC
This 1980-nucleotide ribosomal RNA is filed under the name human gut metagenome. Its description in RNAcentral is "bacterial LSU rRNA". It matches the Rfam family "Bacterial large subunit ribosomal RNA", at positions 1 to 1983 of the family's 2925-position model. The record is from RNAcentral.